AUUGAACGCUAGCGGCAUGCUUUACACAUGCAAGUCGAACGAGUGGCGGACGGGUGAGUAAUACUUGGGAAUGUGGCUUGUAGCGGGGGAUAACUACUCGAAAGUGGGCUAAUACCGCAUACUCUAGGAUGGGCCGAAGUGGGAUUAGCUAGUUGGUGAGGUAAAGGCUCACCAAGCCGACUAUCCCUAGCUGGUCUGAGAGGAGGACCAGCCACACUGGGACUGAGACACGGCCCAGACUCCUACGGGAGGCAGCAGUGGGGAAUAUUGCGCAAUGGGGGAAACCCUGACGCAGCCAUGCCGCGGGAAUGAAGAAGGCCUUCGGGUUGUAAAGUACUUUUGGUAGAGAAGCGGUAACUGCAGAAUAAGCACCGGCUAACUACGUGCCAGCAGCCGCGGUAAUUC
RNAcentral lists this ribosomal RNA (405 nucleotides) under uncultured bacterium. Its description in RNAcentral is "partial 16S ribosomal RNA". It matches the Rfam family "Bacterial small subunit ribosomal RNA", at positions 30 to 526 of the family's 1533-position model. The record is from RNAcentral.